CCCUUAGUAACUGCGAGUGAAGAGGGAAGAGCUCAAAUUUGAAAUCUGUCAGUGUUUCACUGUCCGAGUUGUAAUCUAGAGAAGUGCUGCCCAUGCUGGACCAUGUACAAGUCUCCUGGAAUGGAGCAUCAUAGAGGGUGAGAAUCCUGUCUUUGACAUGGACUGCCAGUGUAUUUGUGGUGUGCUCUCAAAGAGUCGAGUUGUUUGGGAAUGCAGCUCUAAAUGGGUGGUAAACUCCAUCUAAAGCUAAAUAUUGGCGAGAGACCGAUAGUGAACAAGUACCGUGAGGGAAAGAUGAAAAGAACUUUGGAAAGAGAGUUAAACAGUAUGUGAAAUUGUUGAAAGAGAAACACUUAAAGUCAGUCAUGUUGGCCAGGGAUCAGCUCAGCUUUUCAUUGCUGGGUGUACUUCCUGAUCUGACAGGUCAACAUUAGUUUUGACUGCUGGAGAAGGAUAGAAGGAAUGUGGCACCUUUGGGUGUGUUAUAGCUUUCUGUCAAAUGCGGCAGUUGAGACUGAGGAAGGCAGCAUGCCGCAAGGCCGGGUUUUAACCACGUUCAUGCUGAGGAUGUUGGCAAUAAUGGCUUUAAUUGACCCGUCUUGAAACACGGACCAAGGAGUCUAACAUGCCUGCAAGUGUUUGGGUGCAUUUAAACCCUUGCGCGGAAUGAAAGUGAAAGGUUGAGAUCCCUGUCAUUGGGGAGCAUUGAUGCCCGGACCUGAGCUUUUUAGCAAAGGAUCUGCGGUAGAGCAUGCAUGUUAGGACCCGAAAGAUGGUGAACUAUGCCUGAAUAGGGUGAAGUCAGAGGAAACUCUGGUGGAGGCUCGUAGCGAUUCUGACGUGCAAAUCGAUCGUCAAAUUUGGGUAUAGGGGCGAAAGACUAAUCGAACCAUCUAGUAGCUGGUUCCUGCCGAAGUUUCCCUCAGGAUAGCAGAAGCUCAUGUCAGAUUUAUGUGGUAAAGCGAAUGAUUAGAGGCCUUGGGGUUGAAACAACCUUAACCUAUUCUCAAACUUUAAAUAUGUAAGAACGGGCUGUCACUUGACUGGACUG
Molecule: ribosomal RNA, 1051 nt
Filed under: Amanita bingensis
Lineage: Eukaryota; Fungi; Basidiomycota; Agaricomycetes; Agaricales; Amanitaceae
Description: partial large subunit ribosomal RNA
Rfam family: Eukaryotic large subunit ribosomal RNA
Source: RNAcentral